Leopardus geoffroyi (Geoffroy's cat) is the source of this 1544-nucleotide long non-coding RNA. RefSeq lists it as uncharacterized. The transcript is spliced from 2 exons. The record is from RefSeq and is a predicted model, not a curated record. Lineage: Eukaryota; Metazoa; Chordata; Mammalia; Carnivora; Felidae.
UGGGAGGAGGGGGAGGGCCUGGGGGAAUGGGGCGGGAGGUGAGCGAGUGGUUCCCGGAUGGUCUUGGAGGCGGAGACACUGGGGAGUCCCGGUAGGCGGUCUGUCCGCAGCCUGCGCUAGUUACCUUCAGCCUUUGAGCAGGUAAAAGAAACUUAAGCUCGCAAAGCGAAAAUAGCACGGAAGGACUGGGAUCUUCUUCUUCCCGGAGCUUCGGAAGCUGUAGUCUCCUCGUCCCGCAUCCUGUGAGCGCCCACCCACCUCGCGUCCCCAGCGCAGCAGGGAAGCCAGCGGACGCUUUAACCUCUCAGUGACCACACUGGCCAAGGCGAGGGACUUGAGUCUAAGACUGUGGGGCUCUCAGGGGCUCCCACCCUCCACCUGACCAGAAGAACCCAGCAUGUGUCCUGGGGGCCACCAGGAGCAGGAGGCCAUGAGGCCAUCGGAGGCUGCAAAUCACAUGGAGUUGGACCCACCUGGGUGUCUACUGCCCCUGCCCCUAUGCUGAUGCUUGGCAUGGGUGCAAGCCUCAACUGACAUAGGCUCCCCUGGACUGACUGUGGACCUUCUAAAAGUCCACCCGCCCUCAUCUGGACUCGCGCUGACAACGUCAGGAGCCGGAGCAGGGUUCAGUCCUGGCAUGGUGCAAGGCCCACAGCCUCCCCUGCAGGGCACUUCUGCUUCUGUUACCCUCUCCUUUGGCCGCUGCACACAGCCCCCCAGCAGGCACCACCCGCACCUGGGACUUUGAAGCGCCAAGGUCGCCUUCCAGCCAUGCCCCUAAGCUGGCCCCGGGUUUUCGGGGUACAACAGGGGCUGUAUAGAGCCUCUGGACCCCUCCCCCACUAGGUAGCCUUGCUCGCCCCGCAGCCCCCGAGCCAAGAGCGCAGUUCCGAGGCUUCCAGCGUCUUUUCGCCUUCCCCCUACUCCCGUUUUCCGCCGGGCAAACUGCGCCCAGGUAGAAGCACGGCUGAGGCCUGGCCACAGAGCCCGCUGGGCAGGCCAGGGGCGGGGGAGCGGGCCUGGUUUGGGCGGGGCGCUUAAGCCUUGAGGGGCGCCGCUGCGGUCGCAGCAGAGAAGGGGCCACGUGCAGGGAGCCGCGGCCGGGGAGCUGCACAGAAGGCGGGGAGAUUUGCAAACUGUUGCUGCCACAUGGCUGCUCCUUUCGAUCCAUUCACAUUGAAAUGAGGCCGGCGCGUGCCUCAUCUGCCGCAGGGCGCUGCCACGCGUCAGCCCGGCCCGCCGCGUGCCAACUGGGGCAGUGGGGCUGGCAGGGCCUGCCAGUCGUGGGGGCGCAGCCCGAACCCUGAGGCCAGGAGGGGGGAGGGGAAGGGAACCGAGUUAUCUUAGCCGCUCAGGCGCCGCAGUUUUUCGCGGACCUUGGCCCUGCAAUUGGGAUCGAGCCGACGAGAAAGGCCCGGGACGGACGGGUUUCGGAGGGGGGCCAGGAUCGAUGCCGCCGCUCCCCGCAGAUGCGCCCCGGCAGCGCUACUCUCCAUCUGCCGCUGCUCGCACCUGCCGGUCAAUAAAUCGAUUUUACAAUUUAA